UUAUAGAAGUUGGAUUUUGAAGA
This 23-nucleotide non-coding RNA is filed under the name Cricetulus griseus (Chinese hamster). The record is from RNAcentral. Lineage: Eukaryota; Metazoa; Chordata; Mammalia; Rodentia; Cricetidae.